Lycium ferocissimum is the source of this 3421-nucleotide long non-coding RNA. RefSeq lists it as uncharacterized. Lineage: Eukaryota; Viridiplantae; Streptophyta; Magnoliopsida; Solanales; Solanaceae. The record is from RefSeq and is a predicted model, not a curated record. The transcript is spliced from 2 exons.
CAUUUUAAACCUUCAGACUUUCUAAAGAACCCUUUAAUGGUGUUUCGAUGAGUUCCUUUGAUUUUUUUUUUUCUUUUUACUAGGUGAAAAAGUAAGAAAUUGAGGUGAAUUAAAAAUGUAACUGAUUGUUUUUUCCUGUAGUGAUAGUGGCGGCAGUAAUGUCGAUGAUGGUAGGAAGAUGGUAGAAAAAAGAAUGAAGAAGAAGAAGAAGAGAAGGAAAUUAAAAAAAAAAGAAAAAAAAAGAAGAUUUUUGGCCUUUCCACGGUCCUGCUUGGUUUGAAAUCCACACAACUUUUUAAGUCAGCGAAAAGUGUUUAAAUGAGACAGUAAGGGUCCACCUCAGGUGUCUAAAUGAAACAAGGUGUAGUUGAGGUGUCUAAGUGAAAGAUCUUGACGACCGUAAGGGGCCACCGAUGGGUUUGGCCUUUUCUUUUUAUACAUACCUUGAAUUCCUCUCUUCAUUCUCUGAAAUAUAUCUUGCCUUUCAACUAAUUUCUUGUCUUCCAAAAUUCUUAAUUGCCAUUAUAAAAAAUAUGUCCAGAACCAGACUUUCAUCCAGUUUUGUUCCAUCUUCAUCAUCUGCCUCUUUGCUACAGUCCGCGAGCGAUGGCUCUACCAGCGUUAACCCCGGGCUCUAUCAAGGAAAAAUCUUAUUCGUACAUCCCUAGUUUAUUCAACUUCAAUGACAAAAUUACUCCUAAAAAGGUGAAUACUCAAAGUGACAGACGUGAGAUGGCCAAAAACUAUCCUUCCUCCAUCACUGCUGCCAUUCUUAAAACAGUUCGAGAAGACUGCAACUGGAGAACUCUCUCCACAAUCAUUAUUCUUGACCCAGAUAACGAUGUCACCAAAAUUAGGCCAAGCUUUUCCAAUGUAUACACAUACUCGUUACAUUUGGCCAGGUACCUAAGAAUUGAUCCGGUGAUCAUAGAAACGUGCAAAUGCUACCCAAAUUGGCCGUCUGUUGGAGGGCAAUAGCUUGCAUCCGAUUCUUAACAAAUAAAGCAAAAUGACCCUUUACCCUGGAUGACUUCAUGAGGGUUUAUACCACCAGAACAUUUUGGGGUGGAAUUAUCACUGUAUUAAAGCAUGGGAAAUCUUAUCUUAUCACCAGCCUGGAUGAUGAUAAUGAUCGUGGCUAGAUGGAAAGGUUUGUUGCCGUUCCUAUGGCAAAAAUUGUUGAAGAAGAAGACAUACCCAUACCAGAAGUAUGGAACCCAACACGUAAGUACUUACCUUUUUAAACUCCCAUUUCAACUUUGCACUUACUUAUUCUUUUUCAUGCUUGCAAAGCUAACAAAAUCAAGCCUCCCACCGAUUUGCACUUCCCUGAGUAGGUGAAGAGCUUCUUGACGUUUCAUGUCAUGAGUCCCGAAGGUGGAAAGAGAUUUCUCGUGACCUGUGGAAACCCAAAAGUCACAGUAAUUCUAUAUACUCUCAAGAUUUUUUGCUUAAGUGCCUUUAAACUCCUUUUCUCCUUCGAAUGCAAUCUCUUGUCUUUUAAAUAUACCUCCUUCUGGUUUGGCCAAAAGGACCGUCUGACCUCGUGUUGUCUUGAUGGACAUCACUUUGGACCCAGCAGCUUCUGCCCAGUAAAUUGCCAGAAUACUGUGGUAGUAGGUUCGGCCUCCGUUAAGAUGACAAAGAAGAAAAAAAACCCUUUGAGUCUUCAAAGAAACCUAUAAUCGAUGCUUCCAUUCUGACCUCCUCCAUUCCUCUUAAAAGAAAGAGGAAUUCAAGGGAGGGGACUUCUUCAGGAACCAAUGCUACCCUCAAAACCAGAAAUAUAUCGACCUUGACAAUUCCCUCCGUUUCUGACACUGUAAUUGUUGAUGACAACGAGGAAACUGAAGAUGAUAACAUAGUGGCCAAGACGGUCAGGUUAGGACCUACACCGGAGACUCAUCUUGCUAGUCCAGUGCUCCUCCCACACUUUGAUGGAGAAAACCUUGAUCAUCUCUUUUUCGAAGCUGAUACUUUUAUUGGUGGGAACCCUUUUGCCAGAAGUCCCCAGGUUGAGUCUUCGAGGUCUUUAGAACCGAGCAUCCCAGCAAGGCUUUUAUCUCCCAGGGCUGCUGCUCACGCACUAAGGGAUCAUGGCUCUUCUCGGUCUCGAUUGGUUGACAUUUUUCCCUUCCGAGUGUCAAUUCGGACCAAGUUAAAACUGUCACCACUACAGUUCCUGAGGAUACAGAUCUUCUUUCAAGGCCCGUUGGUGUGGCUAACUAUCUGAAAUCUUUGGUCUCGAAGUCGGACGAGGAAAAAAUGGAUGGUGUUUCAUGGAGUUUUUUUUAUUGAGGCAUGCAUGCUUCCUCCCAGGCCGAGAUCCUUAUUUGUGAAGGUUUGAAACGCUGUAUUGAAGACUUUGACAGGUUGACUACUAACCUGGAAGACCAAAAUCGUGAAAUUGAAUUCUACAAGUCUGUGCUCAGUAGAAGAGAUUCUUAGCUGACCGGUGACAUUCUCGGCCUUAAAUCUGAUCUUGAACAGGCGAAAGAAUCCCUCCAGAAAGCCAACCAAGACCUUGAGCAUAUGAAGGAAGAAAAAGAAGCCUUCAGCCAGUAGGCCAAUAGGAUCCAAGAACAUAUCGCGAAGCUUCAAUUUGAAUUUGACACUCAAGACAAGGCUUUACAUCGCAGUGUUCAGAAUGAAUCCUUCUUAGAUGCUGAGGUUCGGAGACUAAAUGCUGAGCUUUCCACUGUUGAUGAUGAAAGGAAUGCAAUACAAGAGCAUAGCCAUCAACUUUCUUUAUGGAAAGAUAAAAGCCAUUAGCAAUCUCUAGAGAUUCGAAGGCUGCGAGCUGAACGGAUGAACAGGUCAAACAUAUCAAUGUUCUCCAAGCCAAACAUGAUGAGGCUUUGCUGUAACGGGAUGAAGCUCGUGCUACUAUUAAAGCUCAAGAGUCCCGGGUCAUUCUUCAUGCUGAGUAUACCACUUGGCAAGUCCGAAGGUAUACUCUUGAACAAGUCAAGUAACGAGUUAAUAACCUUAAGGAAAGAAAUAAAGAAGCCCGUAGACUCGAACUAAUAGCUUCUAUAGCAUUACUUCCAGCUCUUUACCUUAACUCGGAUGAUUCUGAUGGCGAAGGAGCCCGAAGUGAUGAUGAAGGUGCGGAGACCGAAGAGGAUGACCCCUCAAGCCCGACUCUUUCUCCACCACCGACCAACUUUGUUACCUCCGACACAAGUAACCGUGAUGAGAGGAGUGUAUCCCAAUAAAUUUAAACAUGUUUUUCAUAAUCUUUUGGUUUGGCCUGAACGACCUUUUAAGACAAUGGUGUUUGGGUUUGGCCUGAUCGGCCUUUUUAAGAUAUUUUUAUUUUGUUUUUAUCAAGCCUUGAUCCUUUAUGACGGUGCUUGAUGUUGAUUUAAAUUUUGCUGAAUUGUUAAGGAAUUUUAAAUUCAACCUUUAGUUUGCAAUU